AGCUCCAAUAGCGUAUAUUAAAGUUGUUGCGGUAAAAAAGCUCGUAGUUGGAUUUCUGUUGAGGACAAGCGGUCCAUACCACGUAUGCGUAUCUGUUUUGGCCUUGGCAUCCUCUCUAAAGACGUUUCUGCGCUUGAUUGCGUGGAGCGGACUUAGGGACUUUUACUUUGAGGAAAUUAGAGUGUUCACGGCAGGCUUUCGCCAGAAUACAUUAGCAUGGAAUAAUACUAUAGGAUCUUGGUCCUAUUUUGUUGGUUUCUAGGAUUGAGAUAAUGA
RNAcentral lists this ribosomal RNA (276 nucleotides) under uncultured eukaryote. RNAcentral's name for it is "partial small subunit ribosomal RNA". It matches the Rfam family "Eukaryotic small subunit ribosomal RNA", at positions 587 to 868 of the family's 1831-position model. The record is from RNAcentral.